CGCGUUGGUAGUGUUGGGGAUACAUCGAAAUUCUAUAGAUACUAGAUAUAUCGUAUCGGAGUAUUGGCGUAUCGUCGAUAUAUCGGUGUAUCGGAUCGUAGAUGGUUAGAAUUGUGCGUUUGGAUUGUUGCAAUUGAAAUACCCGUUUAGCUCAAUGGUACGGUCUAGCGCUUCUGAGCUAUGUGAUUCUGUCAUUCUGAGUUCAGUGUUCCAGUCUCGCAUCAGAAUGCAUACAAAUACUAAAUUUUCUUAUGAUAAAGUAAUUGAAUAAUACAAUAGAGUUCCUCUUCACAGAAACACGAAUCUUCGAUCUAAUUGUUUUCUGAAAUAUCGGUAUUGAUUAGACAAUUUUCAGUGGUUUUAUAUUCUAUAACAAGGUAUAACACAGUCGGUUUGGGUGGUUGGUAUAAUCUGUGACUGCGAAUUGUAACAUUGAAAAUAGUAGGUUCUAUUCACAGGAAGUGAUUUUUACUUAUGUUUUUUUUUUAUUUCUCUUUUUUUUUGUAUCGGAAUGUAUCGAUAAAUCUGAAUUCAUGUCUUUCGUAGUUAACCACCAGUUUUUUGUAGGGGAUGGCUCAGUGGUACAGUAGUGCACAGCGAACUGGUAGUCUGAUGUUCGAUUCCAUAAACAUGCUCAUUUUGAGAUGUCAGUAGGAAUCAUAAGCAAAAUCUUUUUUGAAAUAAAUAUUUUAAUUUAAAAAUAUAUUUCGAAUCAUCGGUAUCGGUAUUUUUCAUGAAAUAUUGAUCUGCCUUAUUGCAAUUUAUGUAUCGUUUUCCUGGCUAGUUGGUAUAAUCUUAGACUGUGGUUGCAUAUACCCGGAGUUCAAAUCCGAGAAAAUUAGAUUUGAUAUUUUUGCUUUCUGAAUUUUGUUUUUGUUUUCCAUAUCAGAAUUAUCGACAAACCUAAAAUUGUGUAUUUUUUAGAUUGUAAAACAAAUUUAGCUUGGGUGGUUGGUAUAAUCUGUGACUGCGAAUUGUAACGUUGAAAGUAGUAGGUUCUAUUCACAGGAAGUGAUUUUUACUUAUGUUUUUUUUUAUUUCUCUUUUUUUGUAUCGGAAUGUAUCGAUAAAUCUGAAUUCAUGUCUUUCGUAGUUUACCACUAGUUUUUUUGUAGGGAAUGGCUCAGUGGUACAGAAGUGCACAGCGAAAACUGGUAGUCUGAUGUUCGAUUCCAUAAACAUGCUCAUUUUGAGAUGUCAGUAGGAAUCAUAAGCAAAAUCUUUUUUGAAAUAAAUAUUGCAAUUGAAAAAUAUAUUUCGAAUCAUCGGUAUCGGUAUUCUUCAUGAAAUUUUCAUCUGCCUUAUUGUAAAUUAUUUAUCGUUAUUAUGGUUAGUUGGUAUAAUCUUGGCCUGUGGGUGCAUAUUCCCGUAGUUCGAAUCCGGAAAUAUACAUUUUGGUUUUUUUGCUUUCUGAAUUUUUUUUUGUUUUCCGUAUCGGAAUUAUCGACAAACCUAAUACCAUAUCUUUUUUAGUUUGUAAAAUUAAUUUUAGUAAAAAUGGCAUAUCUGUUUGUAAGCGGGGAGUGGAUUUGUGGUCCGGGGCUCUAUUCUUGAAGAGAAUACUAAUACUACUAAAUAUAUACUAAUACUAAAUAAAAGCAAUGAAAACAUCUAUUAAUAAAUUUGCGAAUGUCAUAAUUAAAUAAUGUUUUGAAGUUUCGAAGAUAAAUUUUUAAAAUUGAAACAGAACUGUUUAUUAAUAUUAUGUGUUGUUUUGCAAAAGUUAAAUAGAAAUUCUGGAGCAUUGGUUCGAUCUGCGACUGGAAACAUGUACAUUAAGGGUUCAAAUCCGAAGAUGGAUUUUGUUUUUGAUUUUCUUUGUUUUCAAUAUUUUCCAUUUGCUCCUCGUAUCGAUACGUAUCGAUAUAUUGAACUUCAUCUCGUCCUAACUUCCCACUGAAUGAACAUGUAGUGGUGGCAAAAUGGUAUGGUGCCGGAUAGUGACACGGUAGUUGAUGGUUCAAAUCCCAAGAUUUUCGAGGAAAUGGACAUGUAAUAUUUCUGCUAGGUUGUUUUGUUAAAGAUAUCUGUACUGGAGGAUGAAGAGGAGGAUUCGUCAUAAAUCGGCAAUAAAAGUGUAUCUAUUAUACUAUAUAUUAUAUUGCCGCUUAUCGAGUUUUUAUUUCCACCGCUAGAUGGCGCUGAUCCGAUAUUCAGAUACAUCGGAAUCGGAUCGUAUCGAUAUCGAAUAUCUAAAAUUAUAGAUACAUCGCUGUAUCGGUAUCGGUAUCCCCAACACUACGCGUUGGCUGAGAUUAAAUUGGUCAAUGGCGGCAUGGCGGCAUGGCGGCGACGCGCAUUGGAACUUGGAAGUGGAUUCAUCAUGCAUGUGCGACAUGAUGUGGCGUUGCAUGUGGGAGCCCUGGGAGGCCCCGUUGACUGGUCUUUGAUGAUACGUGUGCACAGUGGUAGUGCUUGGGUUCCUCAAGAGGGAAUCGCAGAACAUAGCCAUAGAGCUAAACAGUAGUAUGUCCUUCAACAAUCUGUUGCGUCCAACCAUGGGAUGAGUCACAUGCAAGCCUAAGUCAACCAAACAGGGCAUCAAUAAUUGGUCAGCAAUGAAAUUAGUCAGUGGAAAACAACACAUUCAUUCCUGAGGAUUGUUUUGAGAUUAUCUAUGCUUAUUUUAUGUUUAAUUUUUAUUGUUAUUAUUUUUAAAUUAAUAUCUGAAGUUUUUCUUUAGCAUGAUUGAAAUUUGCCAUGUUUCCAGGUCAAUUGGAAGGAUUCCUUUUUUUCACAGAACUUUACCAUUUUCAUGGUAUACUUAAUUGCUUUUCGGUGGAUUGUCACUUGGCAUCAUUUGAAUGUGUUUGCAUUUCUUCAGGUAUGAUCCAUAUCAGCAGUGUUAUGAUGCACUUCUUAAAUACACCAAUCCAUGGAAAUAUUCUAAUUGAAAUUAUGGAAAUUUCUGCCCUUCUUGCAGAACUGCACAAUGAUGGGUUUGUAUAAACAAGCUUGAAAUAACAAACCAACAGUAUUUUUGGUUUGUCUCCCACAUACAACUCUAUGACAUGUUGAUGUUAGCUAAAUUGUUAUUAAUCCUAGGACUAGGUAGUACGAAUUGAAAUAUCUUCUCUCGGAAGUUUGGGUCUGAAUUUGUUUGAGAUGCCUCUUGAGGCAGGAAGCUUUUUCCUGCUUCUUACAAAAAGGGACAUUGGAUGCCUUGAUGUCUAAUACCAACCAAGUGUCAUUGCAAAGAUAGGUAAAAAAUAUAUCAAUAUAGAUUAUACUCUGAGUGAUGGUGACAUGGUAAUAAGAGAGCAGUAUAAAUAUUUGCUCCAUCGUUUAGUUCUAUUAUUUUAUCUUCAAGGUAUCUUAUUGACUUCUAUUGGUUUUAUUUGUGGAAAGAAUAUCUUGAGCGGGAGAAUUGGUUGGUGGACUAAAUGUUUUACUAUUUUAAAUGAGUUUAUCAUUAAGAAUUUUUUACUCAUUCAUGUUCUGUUUCUGUAAGUAGGUAGAACAAUCGCAAUGUCGUGGUAGUAAUUCGCGAGAGAUAUGCCAAUAGGGUUUCACUGUUUUCAAUUUGCAAUCGUAAUGGAUUCGAAGGGGAUAUUGAUGGCGUUUUGGUAUAAAAAAGCAUAAGUACAUGUUCGUUGGAAGGGCAACCGAAGAGUUCUAGAUCCUUUUACUAUCGCACAUGUCAUGGUAUUUUUACAAAAUCAUUGAAGUGCUUAUCUGGACCUUCUUGUUUUCUGUGGCCCCGUUUCCCCUUGACUUAUAUUAUUUUCUUUAACCCUUUAGUGCGUGUAAAACUAAAGGCUAAAAGAAGAAGAAUGAUUCAAAAAUUGUGUGAGAGAAUCAUCAAAGAAUUAUACUCGUUUAGGUAAUCCAAGGAAAUAAGAAAGAUUAUUAUCUCGG
Molecule: long non-coding RNA, 3858 nt
Organism: Daphnia magna
Lineage: Eukaryota; Metazoa; Arthropoda; Branchiopoda; Diplostraca; Daphniidae
Exons: 5
Source: RefSeq, a predicted model, not a curated record